GACGAACGCUGGCGGCGUGCCUAACACAUGCAAGUCGAACGGGGUCCAUGGGAGCUUGCUCCCGGAAGACCUAGUGGCGAACGGGUGAGUAACACGUGAGAAACCUGCCCUGGAGUGGGGAAUAACUCGGGGAAACUCGAGCUAAUACCGCAUACCCUCGGAUGGUCGCAUGGCCGACCGAGGAAAGAUUUAUCGCUUCAGGAGGGUCUCGCGGCCUAUCAGCUAGUUGGUGGGGUAACGGCCUACCAAGGCAACGACGGAUAGCUGGUUUGAGAGAACGAUCAGCCACACUGGGACUGAGACACGGCCCAGACUCCUACGGGAGGCAGCAGUGGGGAAUCUUGCGCAAUGGGCGAAAGCCUGACGCAGCAACGCCGCGUGCGGGAUGACGGCCUCGUGGUUGUAA
RNAcentral lists this ribosomal RNA (406 nucleotides) under uncultured bacterium. RNAcentral's name for it is "bacterial SSU rRNA". It matches the Rfam family "Bacterial small subunit ribosomal RNA", at positions 28 to 428 of the family's 1533-position model. The record is from RNAcentral.